UAUUUAUUAGAUAACAGACCAAUAUUCCUCGUGUCUAUUGUGGUGACUCAUAGUAACUGAUCGGAUCGCAUGGCCUUGUGCCGCGACUAACCAUUCAAGUUUCUGACCCAUCAGCUUUCGAUGGUAGUGUAUUGGACUACCAUGGCUUUCACGGGUAACGGAGGAUUAGGGUUCGAUUCCGGAGAGGGAGCCUGAGAAACGGCUACCACAUCUAAGGAAGGCAGCAGGCGCGUAAAUUACCCAAUCCUGACUCAGGGAGGUAGUGACAAGAAAUAACGGGUCGGGGCAUUCGCCUCGGGAUUGCAAUGAAUCGAAUUUACACCCCUUAAUGAGGAUCAAUUGGAGGGCAAGUCUGGUGCCAGUAGCCGCGGUAAUUCCAGCUCCAAUAGCGUAUAUUAAAGUUGUUGCAGUUAAAAAGCUCGUAGUUUGAUUUCUGGACGGGCGCCAACACCCGCUUGUUUAGUGUGGAGGCGGCGCCCGCCCAUCCUUCUGUUAACGCCACCGGCAUUCGUUUGCUGGCGGCGGGCUCAGAUAUUUUACCUUGAGAAAAUUAGAGUGUUUCAGGCAGGCUUGCGC
RNAcentral lists this ribosomal RNA (576 nucleotides) under uncultured eukaryote. RNAcentral's name for it is "SSU rRNA". It matches the Rfam family "Eukaryotic small subunit ribosomal RNA", at positions 203 to 794 of the family's 1831-position model. The record is from RNAcentral.